GAUGAACGCCGGCGGCGUGCCUAAUACAUGCAAGUCGAGCGAACGGACGAGAAGCUUGCUUCUCUGAUGUUAGCGGCGGACGGGUGAGUAACACGUGGAUAACCUACCUAUAAGACUGGGAUAACUUCGGGAAACCGGAGCUAAUACCGGAUAAUAUUUUGAACCGCAUGGUUCAAAAGUGAAAGACGGUCUUGCUGUCACUUAUAGAUGGAUCCGCGCUGCAUUAGCUAGUUGGUAAGGUAACGGCUUACCAAGGCAACGAUGCAUAGCCGACCUGAGAGGGUGAUCGGCCACACUGGAACUGAGGCACGGUCCAGACUCCUACGGGAGGCAGCAGUAGGGAAUCUUCCGCAAUGGGCGAAAGCCUGACGGAGCAACGCCGCGUGAGUGAUGAAGGUCUUCGGAUCGUAAAACUCUGUUAUUAGGGAAGAACAUAUGUGUAAGUAACUGUGCACAUCUUGACGGUACCUAAUCAGAAAGCCACGGCUAACUACGUG
RNAcentral lists this ribosomal RNA (497 nucleotides) under uncultured bacterium. RNAcentral's name for it is "partial 16S ribosomal RNA". It matches the Rfam family "Bacterial small subunit ribosomal RNA", at positions 28 to 507 of the family's 1533-position model. The record is from RNAcentral.